CUCGGGGCGGGGGUUGGGGGCUCCUCAGCCUGGAUUGUGAGAGGGCACAGGCCAGGCUGAGGGACCCCACUGGUGCAAG
RNAcentral lists this microRNA precursor (79 nucleotides) under Myotis davidii. Its description in RNAcentral is "mir-9193 microRNA precursor family". It matches the Rfam family "mir-9193 microRNA precursor family". Lineage: Eukaryota; Metazoa; Chordata; Mammalia; Chiroptera; Vespertilionidae. The record is from Rfam by way of RNAcentral.